CUCUCCACCCGACCCAAUCCAUGUCCUCAUCAAAACGACCCCUUGUAAUGCAUGACAAAUCCUCGCCGUCGAGGUUAUCAAAUCUAACGGCCAGGAACUCACCCCUUAUUAAUAUAAAUCUGUCCGAACAAGCUUAACCCCUCCCCCCAUUUUUCUCCCUCAUCGUCUCCACCAAACAGCCCUAUCUCUAAGAACCAUAAUUACGCUGCCAUGAAAUCCCUAAGCCGUCGAUGGCGGCGCCGGUCACCAAACCUUACCCCAUUAACACCCAAUGUUUUCCUUCUCAUCUCUAUCUAAAUAUAUAACUCACUUCCUUCGAAUCACAACUCAGCUGCUCGAAUCUUGAUUUAAAGAUCAGACUCAAAACCCUAGUUCAUCAAAACUUCCCCAAAUUUACACCCUACAAUCCCUGGACCUCCCUCACCCUAAUACCUAACUAAAUCCCUUCAAACCCCAUUGAAGUUUGACGAAUAUUGAAUCUAGGGUUCACACGUUUCAAGGCUGUUGUGAAGAUUUUCAAGUCGAUGAUUUCUAGCUAAUAUUAGAAAUAUAUUUUUGACAAAAUAGAUGUAUAAUAUUAACCAAAAAUUAUUUUCAGACGGUUUUCUUAUGAAGUCCAAAAUCAGUAAGGUUUCUUUCUUUACUUCUUUUUAACAUUCUCAUGAGUUUCAGGUUUUGAUUAGAUUAAUUAGUGCUCUUGAUUGUUAGCUGACUUUAUUUCAUUUGUUUUUCUAUAUUAAUUUUAGUCGAUCUUAAUCUGACUAUGUUAGUCUAGGCAAAAUUUUGAUUACUCGUUUCUUAAUUGAAUCAAUUCUAUUUUCAUAGUGUUUAAUUUCCAGUUUAGUUUUCAGUUUUUUGUUUGAUUCUAUUCUGAUUUCUCGUGUUCUGAUUUGGUUCUUGAAACAUCUUCCUGACUGUUUGGAUUUAGCUCAUUUUGAUUUUUUCUUAGUUAAAAUCUGAUUUUAGUUUAAUUCUUUAGGAUUUAUUAUGCUGAUUUUAGAUUUAAUACUUGGUAAUUGUUCUGUGUUUAGUUUGAUUCUUCUUCUUUUAAAUUAGUUUGCCUUCAUUUAGUUUAGUCUAGUGUUGAUUAAUCAGAAAUUUCUUUAGUUUGGUAAUUUGUCUUAACUAGUUUAGGUUUAGUUUGUUUGGUUAAAGUGUUAAUCUCAAGGUUGAACUAAGGCCAAUGGGCUUUUGUUGCGUAGUAAUUUCAGGAAACAAAUAAGGGUAGUUUAGGCAUGAAAAAGGGUAAUUUUGUUAGGAAUAGUAAUUUCAAAAUAAAGGCAAGGGUAGUAUAGGUAUUGUAUGAGUAGAAGAACACCUUAGAGCCUUCUAGAAUGGGGCUUUAGUGUACGUUUCUGCAUUUUUAAUACAAUAACUUGGAUAACGAGUCUCAAAUUCAGGGAUUAAUCACCAAUUUCUGAAAAUAAAAAGGAGAAAAAAUGUGUGAAAGGGUCCAAAACUUUCUGCCAUGUUAUGGCCUAUAAAAGGCAGCUCUAGUACCUUCACUAAGGGGUGUUUUGGACUACCUAGAAAUACCCAAAGCUCCAGCUAUCUAAUUCCUCCAAAAUCCUUCUCUAAUUUCCAGAUCUGUAUUAUAUUUUUGAAAUUCAAACAUUCAAAACCCCAAAAACGAUAGAAAUCACUAGAAACUAAAAAAACUUCAGGGCACUGCUCCAUUGCAAAUUUUAGUCAACUUUGAGUUUCAGAUUUGAGAGUGCAUCACUUAGAGACUCAGUAGUGUGGCUGUUUCAUUUCAAGCUGUUUGAGGUUCCACUGGUUCUCAUUUUGGUCAAGUUGUUGCUGUGUUUGGAUUUGUUAUACGAGUUUCAUUUUGUUUUCAAAUCAAUUUCGAUCUUUGAGCUAUUUCUGGUUGGAAUUGCAUUUUCUGUUGCUGAUGUGCUAAUUUCUUCUUCUUCUGUUAAAUUUUGCUCCCCAGGUACACAACUUGAGACUCUAUGGUUGUAACUUCACAUGGUUGAAACAUGGAAUAAACUGAGAAAGAUUCUCUUGCUGUGGAUUUAGAUUCUGAUAUUUCUGUAGAUUUAAAACAAUAUUCUGUGAUUCAAUUUCUUGGUUGUUGUGCUUGAAAUUCUGUAAUAAUCCUGGACUCAUUCAUAGAUGUGUAGACUAUUGAAUUAGCCUUCUGAAUAGUGAACCUGCGUUGCAACCUUAGUGUGAGUUAAUUUGAUUUCCUAGUAUAAUGUGGUGUGGUACAGAGCAGCUUGCCUCCAGUAGUAUUUUUGUUUAAAUAAGUUAAACAGUUUGUAUUCCAGUAUGCUAGCUCAUGUGUCUAGCUUUGAAAUCGUGUGUAAAUGACAUUAGUCUAAGCAGUUUAUUUGCCAUCUUUCAAUGCUAAUGAAUGGGGUUAAUUCUUAAUUCUUAGACACCUGAAUUAUUCUUCAAUUUCCAGUUUAUUUCGCAUUUUGGGAGUAAUUACAAAGUCACCAGCAGUAAUUGAAUAAAAUAGUUAGAAUAUAAAAUUCAUUUGUGUUGAUAUCAGUAGGCGUUGGCCU
This 2513-nucleotide long non-coding RNA is filed under the name Nicotiana benthamiana. Its description in RNAcentral is "long non-coding RNA (NBEN_LNC029464)". Lineage: Eukaryota; Viridiplantae; Streptophyta; Magnoliopsida; Solanales; Solanaceae. The record is from RNAcentral.